RNAcentral lists this unclassified non-coding RNA (184 nucleotides) under plant metagenome. RNAcentral describes it as "partial contains small subunit ribosomal RNA and internal transcribed spacer 1". The record is from RNAcentral.
AGUCAUAACAAGUUCAGUAGGUGAACUGCGGAAGGAUCAUUAAUAGAGAUGCAUGCCCUCGGGUCAAGACCUCCACCCCCGGUUACCAGGUACCGUGCUUUGGCGUCCCGUCGCGAGACGGCCGCCAGAGGACCUUUAAACCCGUAUUAUCAUUGUCGUCUGAGUACCUAUACAAUAGUUAAAA